RNAcentral lists this ribosomal RNA (445 nucleotides) under uncultured bacterium. RNAcentral's name for it is "partial 16S ribosomal RNA". It matches the Rfam family "Bacterial small subunit ribosomal RNA", at positions 330 to 792 of the family's 1533-position model. The record is from RNAcentral.
CCCAGACUCCUACGGGAGGCAGCAGUGGGGAAUAUUGCACAAUGGGGGGAACCCUGAUGCAGCGACGCCGCGUGGGUGAAGGAGCACCUCGGUGCGUAAAGCCCUAUCGGCAGGGAAGAAACAGACGGUACCUGACUAAGAAGCCCCGGCUAACUACGUGCCAGCAGCCGCGGUAAUACGUAGGGGGCAAGCGUUAUCCGGAUUUACUGGGUGUAAAGGGAGCGUAGACGGCCAGACAAGUCAGAAGUGAAAGCCCAGGGCUCAACCCUGGGACUGCUUUUGAAACUGCCGGGCUGGAGUGCAGGAGAGGUAAGCGGAAUUCCUAGUGUAGCGGUGAAAUGCGUAGAUAUUAGGAGGAACACCAGUGGCGAAGGCGACUUUCUGGACUGUACCUGACGCUGAGGCGCGAAAGCGUGGGUAGCGAACGGGAUUAGAUACCCUAGUA